This is a non-coding RNA of Ictidomys tridecemlineatus (thirteen-lined ground squirrel), 69 nucleotides long. Lineage: Eukaryota; Metazoa; Chordata; Mammalia; Rodentia; Sciuridae. The record is from Rfam.
GGGGUUGUGGCUCAGUGAUAGAGCACUCACCUUGCAAAUGUGAGGUGCUGGGUUUGAUCCUCAGCACCA